This 253-nucleotide ribosomal RNA is filed under the name uncultured bacterium. RNAcentral describes it as "partial 16S ribosomal RNA". It matches the Rfam family "Bacterial small subunit ribosomal RNA", at positions 524 to 776 of the family's 1533-position model. The record is from RNAcentral.
CACGUAGGGUGCGAGCGUUGUUCGGAAUUACUGGGCGUAAAGGGCUCGUAGGCGGCCAACUAAGUCAGACGUGAAAUCCCUCGGCUUAACCGGGGAACUGCGUCUGAUACUGGAUGGCUUGAAUUCGGGAGAGGGACGCGGAAUUCCAGGUGUAGCGGUGAAAUGCGUAGAUAUCUGGAGGAACACCGGUGGCGAAGGCGGCAUCCUGGACCGACAUUGACGCUGAUGAGCGAAAGCCAGGGGAGCAAACGGG